CGCUCCACUCCUGCCGCCCAGCCUGCGCUGCGCUGCGCUGUGCACGCGCCAACCCCUUGCUCCUCCCCCGCCGUUGUGACGCGCGAGCUCCCCAUUGGCCGCGGCGGCUCGGACCGCUGCGUGCAACCGCGACGGCGCCCUUGCGUGGCGGGAGCGGCGGUGCGGGACGCUGCCCGGCUCCGUGUCGCUGCGGGCUGUGCUGGGCGCUGCCCCCCCCCCGGGCAGUGCGGGCGAGCGGCGGCCGGCAGGGGUUGUGCGGCGUGUUUGAGCCGUGCCGUGCGGGGCGCGCAGAGACGGGCUCCUCACUCGCGCGUGCCUUGCCUCAUAGACUGCGGGAUGAGAGAGAUCCUGUGUGUCAGACUACAGCAGGGCUUCAGUAGUCUUCCCCCGUGGCUACUGCGGAGUACAAAGCUGUUACAGCACAAUGGCACCGAGAAACGGGCAAUAAGUCACAAAGAGACCUCUCUGACGUUGCAAAGACGUGCAUGCCCGAACAGUUCAGCGGGGGCCACUAUCCCUCGUUUCGUUUUCACCACUGCGAGGAGCAAAAGCACUGCUGUCUCUGGGAUCCCGCUUGGUGGUUUAUUCUGUCUAUUCUGCAUGAAAGGAGCCGUCACUGAAUGUUUUCAGCUAAAAUCUCUUGUACUCUUACAAGUGUAAUAAAAUAUGGACAUACCUGGC
Long non-coding RNA from Alligator mississippiensis (American alligator), 681 nucleotides. RefSeq lists it as uncharacterized. The transcript is spliced from 2 exons. NCBI's taxonomy places the organism in Eukaryota, Metazoa, Chordata, Crocodylia, Alligatoridae. The record is from RefSeq and is a predicted model, not a curated record.